Molecule: ribosomal RNA, 468 nt
Filed under: uncultured bacterium
Lineage: Bacteria
Description: partial 16S ribosomal RNA
Rfam family: Bacterial small subunit ribosomal RNA
Source: RNAcentral
GACGAACGCUGGCGGCGUGCUUAACACAUGCAAGUCGAACGGAAAGGCCCUGCUUUUGGGGGUUGCUCGAGUGGCGAACGGGUGAGUAACACGUGAGUAACCUGCCCUUGACUUUGGGAUAACUUCAGGAAACUGGGGCUAAUACCGGAUAGGAGCUCCUGCUGCAUGGGGGGGGUGGGAAAGUUUCGGCGGUUGGGGAUGGACUCGCGGCUUAUCAGCUUGUUGGUGGGGUAGUGGCUUACCAAGGCUUUGACGGGUAGCCGGCCUGAGAGGGUGACCGGCCACAUUGGGACUGAGAUACGGCCCAGACUCCUACGGGAGGCAGCAGUGGGGAAUAUUGCACAAUGGGCGGAAGCCUGAUGCAGCAACGCCGCGUGCGGGAUGACGGCCUUCGGGUUGUAAACCGCUUUCGCCUGUGACGAAGCGUGAGUGACGGUAAUGGGUAAAGAAGCACCGGCUAACUACGUG